AGUUUAGCUAAUGUUGCCCGUACCGUAAACCGACACAGGUGGGUGGGAUGAGUAUUCUAAGGCGCGUGGAAGAACUCUCUUUAAGGAACUCUGCAAAAUAGCACCGUAUCUUCGGUAUAAGGUGUGGUUCGCUUCGUAUUAGGAUUUACUCCGAAAGCGAAGAAACUUACAACAAAGAGUCCCUCCCGACUGUUUACCAAAAACACAGCACUCUGCUAACUCGUAAGAGGAUGUAUAGGGUGUGACGCCUGCCCGGUGCUCGAAGGUUAAUUGAUGGGGUUAGCAUUAGCGAAGCUCUUGAUCGAAGCCCGAGUAAACGGCGGCCGUAACUAUAACGGUCCUAAGGUAGCGAAAUUCCUUGUCGGUUAAAUACCGACCUGCAUGAAUGGCGUAACGAGAUGGGAGCUGUCUCAAAGAGGGAUCCAGUGAAAUUGUAGUGGAGGUGAAAAUUCCUCCUACCCGCGGCAAGACGGAAAGACCCCGUGGACCUUUACUACAGCUUGACACUGCUAUUUGGAUAAGAAUGUGCAGGAUAGGUGGGAGGCUUUGAGUAUAUGACGCCAGUUGUAUAUGAGCCAUUGUUGAGAUACCACUCUUUCUUAUUUGGGUAGCUAACCAGCUUGAGUUAUCCUCAAGUGGGACAAUGUCUGGUGGGUAGUUUGACUGGGGCGGUCGCCUCCCAAAUAAUAACGGAGGCUUACAAAGGUUGGCUCAGAACGGUUGGAAAUCGUUCGUAGAGUAUAAAGGUAUAAGCCAGCUUAACUGCAAGACAUACAAGUCAAGCAGAGACGAAAGUCGGUCUUAGUGAUCCGGUGGUUCUGCGUGGAAGGGCCAUCGCUCAAAGGAUAAAAGGUACCCCGGGGAUAACAGGCUGAUCUCCCCCAAGAGCUCACAUCGACGGGGAGGUUUGGCACCUCGAUGUCGGCUCAUCGCAUCCUGGGGCUGGAGCAGGUCCCAAGGGUAUGGCUGUUCGCCAUUUAAAGCGGUACGCGAGCUGGGUUCAGAACGUCGUGAGACAGUUCGGUCCCUAUCUGCCGUGGGCGUAAGAAGAUUGAAGAGAUUUGACCCUAGUACGAGAGGACCGGGUUGAACAAACCACUGGUGUAGCUGUUGUUCUGCCAAGAGCAUCGCAGCGUAGCUAAGUUUGGAAAGGAUAAACGCUGAAAGCAUCUAAGCGUGAAGCCAACUCUAAGAUGAAUCUUCUCUAAGCUCUCUAGAAGACUACUAGUUUGAUAGGCUGGGUGUGUAAUGGAUGAAAGUCCUUUAGCUGACCAGUACUAAUAGAGCGUUUGGCUUAUCUUUAAUAAAGCAU
RNAcentral lists this ribosomal RNA (1312 nucleotides) under Campylobacter coli. RNAcentral describes it as "partial 23S ribosomal RNA". It matches the Rfam family "Bacterial large subunit ribosomal RNA", at positions 1625 to 2925 of the family's 2925-position model. Lineage: Bacteria; Pseudomonadati; Campylobacterota; Epsilonproteobacteria; Campylobacterales; Campylobacteraceae. The record is from RNAcentral.